This 4277-nucleotide long non-coding RNA is filed under the name Homo sapiens (human). Its description in RNAcentral is "HSALNT0056381". The record is from RNAcentral. Lineage: Eukaryota; Metazoa; Chordata; Mammalia; Primates; Hominidae.
GGCUGGUCCUGAACUCCUGGGUUCAACUAAUUCUCCUGCCUCAGCCUCUCAAAGUGCUGGGAUUACAGGCAUGAGACACCACGCCAGGCUGGUGGUGAGUUUUAAAAUUUUCCAGUGCCUCAGUGUUUCUACCUGUAGAAUGCCAAAAAGUAGAUGGCAUCUUUGCGAGGAUGAAGCCGACUAGCUUUUUUUAAUUUUUUUUUGAGACAGAAUUUCUCUCUUGUCACCCAGGCUGGAGUGCAAUGGUGUGAUCUUGGCUCACUGCAACCUCUGCCUCCUGGAUUCAAGUGAUUCUCCUCUCUCAGCCUCCAAGUAGCUGGGAUUACAAAGCCAGCUAGCUUUAAGAUACAGUGUUGGGCAUCACAUUUUGGCACGGAGCAGGCACUCUUUUCUUUGCCCUCAGGUGGGACUUAGCCACCACAAGCCUUCCCUGGUGUGUGCAGUGGGUGAUGAAUGCUUGCCUGCUCAGCACCCACUACAUGGUGGGCUGGGUCACAUUACUCUGACUCCCCCUUGAGCUUCAGUCCGUGCCUGGUUCAAGAUGUAUUGACUCAACUCGAGGAUCCAGAGGUGGGAUGUGGCUCUGGCCUGGCCAGAGGACCGAAGAUGCUGCAUGCCAUGGCUACAGCAACUGGUUCAGCUUUGGGCUCAUGUCCUAGUCAGAGCCAAUGAGAUGUAAUCUUGGGAUAUCUGCUGGGCUGUUGGGAAGGGGACAGGCUGCCCUGCUCAUCCCCAUUCCUGAUGCUGAGGGAUCUGAGAAAAUCACUUGUAAAAUUCGGGGGUGUUUGGAAGAUGGGGAGACUGAUGUCUCCUUCUCUCUACAGACAUCUGAUCAGCUACAGAGCUUGACUGACCUACCCAGAGGCAGAAUGAUAUGGUGGUUAAAAGUGUGCCCUGGGCCGAGAUCUUGCCACUGCACUCCAGCCUGGGUGACAGAGUGAGACUCCAUCUCAAAAGAAAAAAAAAAGUGUGCUCUGGGCUGGUCGCAGGAGUUUAUGACUGUAAUCCCAGCAGUUUGGGAGGCUGAGGCAGGAGGAUCGCUUGAAGUCAGGAGUUUGAGAUCAGACCCUAUCUCUAGAAAAAUGUUUUAAAAAUUAGCUGGGUUGGUGGUGAAUGCCUGUAGUCCCAGCUACUCAGGAGGCUGAGGCGGGAAGAUUGCUGGAGCCCGGGAGUUCAAGGCUGCAGUGAGCCAUGAUCAGGCCACUGCACUCCAGUUUGAGGGACAGAGAGAGACCCCAUCUCCCUAAAGCACAAAAAAGUGUGCUCUGGUGCCACACUGCCUGGUUAGAUCCUUUGUCCACCACUUAGAUGCAUGUUAUAUAAAUGCUCUCCUCAGUUUCCUCAUCUGUAACUUGGGGAUGAUAAUGCUGCCCCAUUAAGUGGUUAUGGGGACUAAAUUCAUGUGGGCGCAUUGGUAAGUAUUCAACAAGCUUGAUUUUUUCCUGGAGAGGGAGAAAGAGCAUACAGUGAAGUGGCAUGCUCAGGUGCAUUGGGGCAAGGAUUAUUUCCUCUGGCUUCUGCCUCCUGGGAGGUACUAAGGAUGGAUCUGAAAUGUGUCUGCAGACCCCAGAGUUGGGGACUGCAGAGGGAAAUUGAGAUCAGGGACCCCAGUCUGGCAGAAAUGGGUGCAGCAUGGGGCAUUGGGUUCCUUCCAUCAGAGGCAUGGGGUGUGUUGCAGACAGUCAUGAGAUGUGGCUGAAUCUUGCAAGGGAGCUGCAGUCCUAGGGUUGCUGCUUGAGACAAUGACCGCUGUCAGUGGAACCUGGUGACCUUCACCCUUCUCUGUCAGGCUGCAGACAGCAAGAGAUGGCAGGAGGUUACACCCAACAGGAAAAGGGCCAUUGCUAUCCCACAGGUUGCCAUAGGAGGAGAUGACAUCUCUUCCCUCUCCUCCUCCAGCAGUGUCAGCUGGGGAAGAGGUGGGUGGGGGUGCACAAAAGAGUAGACCACAGACCAUGCUCCUUCUCCUCCAGUCUGCUGGGGCCCCAAGAGAGUCUGCAGCCCUUGGCCAGGGACCGGCUGAUACAGGAGAACAAAAGAUCUCAGUCUGGGAUAACAUGGUGGUGCAGCUGAUCCUCUGGAACUCCCUGUGAGAUCAGACUGGAGCCAGUCUCCAGCUGAGACCACAUCUCACUUAGCUCCUUCCCUGCCAUAUCCUGUUUUCCUUACUCCUAUCUACUGAGAGUCCUGAAUGAAUUACAUGCACUCAAUCCCUGCCUCAGGCUCUGCUUUUAGGGAACUUGACCUAAGACAGAUAUCUUAGUACUAAAUACUUUGCAAGGCCUCAGAAGCUCUGCUAUCCACAGGCAGGUGAGAUAUUACCUUCCCUACCACCUGGCAGUCAUAGUCUAUGAUGCGAUUCAGCUUUGUGGAAGUGCUUCUGUAAAGAACUUCCCCCAACUUAAGAUGAUCUUAAUUUGCUUACUUGUUUACUGUCCAUUUAGCUGCUGUAAAAUGUGAGCUCCAAAUCAGUGGUCAUGUCUGGUUAGUUACCCAUUUCCUGGGACCUAGAACGGGCCUAGCUCAGAGCAUGUGCUCACUAUUGAUGGAAUGCAUGUUGAAAGAACGCAUGAAUCUCAUCUCCUUUUGUGGGUGAAAAACUCAUCCUAUUCUCACUCCUGAUUAACUUUCCUUCUUUUUUUUUUUUUUUUUUUUUUUCAAAACGGAGCCAUGAUCUGUCACCCAGGCUGGAGUGCAAUGGUGUGAUCUCAUCUCGCUGCAACCUCUGCCUUCUGGAUUAAAGCAAUUCUCCUGCCUCAGCCUCCCGGGUAUCUGGGAUUACAGUUGCACGCCACCACACCUGGCUAAUUUUUUGUAUUUUUAAUAGAGACAGGGUUUCACCAUGUUGGCCAGGCUUGUCUUGAACUCCUGACGUCGUGAUCUGCCUGCUUUGGCCUCCCAAAGUCCUGGGAUUACAGGCAUGAGCCACCGUACCCAGCCACUCUUGAUUAACUUAAUGGAAAUAUUUACAGAGAUUCUUUCUCUUCUGGGUUCUAGCGUCUUAUCUGUAACCUCUGCAGGUGCAGGAAUGAGAGGCAGCAGCCGGGGAAGCCAGGGUCUCCGGAAGUCCUUGUCUCUGGGCGGUGAUCCAGAGAGAGAGAGAGAACACGAUUGUCUCAGCAAUGGGUCUUCUUCUGAGUCUUGAAGGAGCACUUCCAGAGCCUCUCAGUGUUAAACAUCGUGUUGUGAAUGACUCCGUGAGCUCUGACCCAGUGACCUUGGGGAUAAAGGAGGGGAGGUGUAUCCAGCAGCUCAAGAGAGACAUCGACCAGCGAGAAGGGGCCAUGAUGAUGGUGGUGGUUUUGUGAAAACGAAAAGGGGGAUAUGUAGGGAAAAGAAAGAGAGAUCAGACUGUUACUGUGUCUACACAGAAAGGGAAGACAUAAGAGACUCCAUUUUGAAAAAGACCUGUACUUUAAACAAUUGCUUUGCUGAGAUGUUGUUAAUCUGUAGCUUUGCCCCGGCCACCUUGCCCCCAACCACUUUGACCCAACCUGGAGCUCACAAAAACAUGUGUUGUAUGAAAUCAAGGUUUAAGGGAUGUAGGGCUGUGCAGGAUGUGCCUUGUUAACAAAAUGUUUGCAAGCAGUAUACUUGGUAAAAGUCAUCGCCAUUCUCUAGUCUCAAUAAACCAGGGGUACAAUGCACUGUGGAAAGCCGCAGGGACCUCAGCCCUUGAAAGCUGGGUAUUGUCCAAGGUUUCUCCCCAUGUGAUAGUCUGAAAUAUGGCCUCGUGGGAUGAGAAAGACCUGACGGUCCCCCAGCCCGACAACCAUAAAGGGUCUGUGCUGAGGUGGAUUAGUCAAAGAGGAAAGCCUCUUGCAGUUGAGAUAGAGGAAAGCCACUGUCUCCUGCCUGUCUCUGGGAACUGAAUGUCUUGGUAUAAAACCCGAUUGUACAUUUGUUCAAUUCUGAGAUGGGAGAAAAACCGCCCUAUGGUGGGAGGCGAGACAUGUUUACAGCAAUGCUUCCUUGUUAUUCUUUACUCCACUGAGAUGUUUGGGUGGAGAGAAACAUAAAUCUGGCUUAUGUACACGUCCAGUCAUAGUACCUUCCCUUGAACUUCAUUAUGACAUAGAUUCUAUUGCUCACAUGUUUGUUGCUGACCUUCUCCUUAUUAUCACCCUGCCCUCCUACUACAUUCCUUUUUGCUGAAAUAAUGAAGAUAAUAAUCAAUAAAAACUGAGGGAACUCAGAGGCCGUUGCCAGUGCAGAUCCUUUGUAUGUUGAGCGCCGAUCCCCUGGGCCCACUGUUGUUUCUCUACACUUUGUCUCUG